AAGUAGUGAAGUAAAAUGUUACAUUUAGUUUCGACCUAAAAAUAGAGCUAUCUCCUUACUUU
This 62-nucleotide transfer RNA is filed under the name Tuxedo elongatus. Its description in RNAcentral is "tRNA-Arg". The record is from RNAcentral. Lineage: Eukaryota; Metazoa; Arthropoda; Insecta; Hemiptera; Miridae.